UACGGAGGGUGCAAGCGUUAUCCGGAUUCACUGGGUUUAAAGGGUGUGUAGGCGGAUUUUUAAGUCAGUGGUGAAAUCUCCGGGCUCAACCCGGAAACUGCCAUUGAUACUAUUAGUCUUGAAUUCUGUUGAGGUGGGCGGAAUACAUCAUGUAGCGGUGAAAUGCUUAGAUAUGAUGUAGAACACCGAUUGCGAAGGCAGCUCACUAAGCAGACAUUGACGCUGAGGCACGAAAGCGUGGGGAGCAAACAGG
RNAcentral lists this ribosomal RNA (253 nucleotides) under uncultured bacterium. RNAcentral's name for it is "partial 16S ribosomal RNA". It matches the Rfam family "Bacterial small subunit ribosomal RNA", at positions 524 to 776 of the family's 1533-position model. The record is from RNAcentral.